RNAcentral lists this unclassified non-coding RNA (352 nucleotides) under Hevea brasiliensis (rubber tree). Lineage: Eukaryota; Viridiplantae; Streptophyta; Magnoliopsida; Malpighiales; Euphorbiaceae. The record is from RNAcentral.
CCUUUGUAGAACUUUAAACUCCUCUCCCUAAGCAAUUCAGCACUUUCCUCCAAGGAUUGUAUCUGCUUGCGAAACAUAGGAGAGUCAUCGAGCUUAGCGAAAGUCAUUUUUGAGACACCGAUUCUUCUUCCUUACGAUAAAUUCUAACAACCAUUACAUCAAUGCUUGAUCUUGGCAGCCUGAAGCUAAUCUUAUGUCAUAACAACCUCCAGUCAUCAAUAUUAAGCAGAGAUCUUGACUUGUAGUUGUACACCGAUCUUAACGAUGCUCACAAAGGAACCGAAAAAACAGCAAGAACCAGAGAUAAAAGAGCUAGAUUGGCGGACUUCCGGAGCUCCAAACAAUUUUUUUU